Molecule: non-coding RNA, 224 nt
Organism: Picea glauca (white spruce)
Lineage: Eukaryota; Viridiplantae; Streptophyta; Pinopsida; Pinales; Pinaceae
Source: Rfam
ACGACCUUACUUGAACAUGAUUUAUUCUAUAGGUUGUACAUCUUAGUCUGCGUAGAUUCCUAUAUAGACCAUCAUACAAAUCCGGAAAAUGAACUAUGGCUCUCAGGACAGAGCGUGAAUACUUUGAUUCUUGGGACUUCCCUCCCACCCGUCUCUCAAUGAACAUCCCGUCUUUGACAUUUCCAGUUCCACACGGUGAAGGCCUGAGAGCAUUCUGACGGAUC